UAGGGAAUCUUCCACAAAUGGGCGCAAGCCUGAUGGAGCAACACCGCGUGAGUGAAGAAGGGUUUCGGCUCGUAAAGCUCUGUUGUUAAAGAAGAACACGUAUGAGAGUAACCUGUUCAUACGUUGACGGUAUUUAACCAGAAAGUCACGGCUAACUACGUGCCAC
This 166-nucleotide ribosomal RNA is filed under the name uncultured bacterium. RNAcentral describes it as "partial 16S rRNA". It matches the Rfam family "Bacterial small subunit ribosomal RNA", at positions 355 to 511 of the family's 1533-position model. The record is from RNAcentral.